CGGUAGCAGGCCUUCGGGCGCUGACGAGUGGCGGACGGGUGAGUAACGCGUAGGAAUCUGCCUCACAGUGGGGGACAACGUGGGGAAACUUACGCUAAUACCGCAUACGCCCUACGGGGGAAAGCGGGGGACCUUCGGGCCUCGCGCUAUGAGAUGAGCCUGCGUUAGAUUAGCUAGUUGGUAGGGUAAAGGCCUACCAAGGCGACGAUCUAUAGCUGGUCUGAGAGGACGAUCAGCCACACUGGGACUGAGACACGGCCCAGACUCCUACGGGAGGCAGCAGUGGGGAAUAUUGGACAAUGGGCGCAAGCCUGAUCCAGCAAUACCGCGUGUGUGAAGAAGGCCCUAGGGUUGUAAAGCACUUUCAAUGGGGAGGAAAACAGUCAGAUUAAUACCCUGGCUCUUGACAUUACCUUUAGAAGAAGCACCGGCUAACUCCGUGCCAGCAGCCGCGGUAAUACGGAGGGUGCGAGCGUUAAUCGGAAUUACUGGGCGUAAAGCGUGCGUAGGCGGUUCGUUAAGUCAGAUGUGAAAGCCCCGGGCUUAACCUGGGAACUGCA
RNAcentral lists this ribosomal RNA (560 nucleotides) under uncultured Methylobacter sp. RNAcentral's name for it is "bacterial SSU rRNA". It matches the Rfam family "Bacterial small subunit ribosomal RNA", at positions 67 to 625 of the family's 1533-position model. Lineage: Bacteria; Pseudomonadati; Pseudomonadota; Gammaproteobacteria; Methylococcales; Methylococcaceae. The record is from RNAcentral.